CCCCCACCCACCCAAUUUGGAAUGGCGGAAUCUUUGUCCUUGUUUCUGUUGCUAGGAUAAGCAUUGUGCCCAAAAGCGGCUUGGAGAAGAAGGGGCUUUUUUGUCUCACAGGUUGCACUCCAUCCAUCAGGGCAGAAACCCGAGCAGGAAUCUGGAGGCAGGAACUCAAGCAGAGGCCAUGGAGAACUCUGCACACUGGCUUGCUCUCCAUGGCUUGCUCUCCAAGCCUGCUGUCUUACAGAACUCAGGACCAGAAGUGGGCACACGCACUAUGGACUGGGCCCCUCCCCCACCGGUCUUUUUAAUAAAGGAAUCGGCUCACUCGUCAUGGGUCUGCCUGAUGGAAGAAACUCCUCAGUUGACUCUCUGCUUUGUGCAGAGGACAAACCCUGGCCAGCACAAGCCCUGAUGCAGCCAGUUACCCACCUCCCCAAGACAGCAAGUCCCUGUAGGUUUCUCUUAUCUGUCUCUUCUCAGAAACUAGGACUUCGGAGAUCCUACGAACCAUUGGUUGAGGAAAGGAACUGAGAAAGGAAAACGGAAGAGAAGGAAAAGGAAAGGAAGGGAAAAUGGAAAGAAAGAGGAAAGGGGAGAGAAAGAAGAAGGGAGGGGGAAAGAGAGGAGAAGGGAAGAGGGAGGAGGCAAUACAGGAGGAAGAAGGAGGGAGGAAGAGGGAGAGAGGGGAGAGAGAAGGAAGGAAGGGAGUCCUUAACUCUCUCACCAGAGUCUUCACAGUCACCUUGAGCAGGUAUAAAGACCUUGACCCAGGAUGGGUCCUAGCUAAUGUGUUCCUGCUUGCUGCUGGUGCCGACAUCAUUAAUGUGACUGUCUUGUCAUUAUUAUUAUUAUUAUUAUUAUUAUUAUUAUUAUUAUUUAGGAAAGGUAUAUUAGAAGGGGUAAAUUAUUUUUGUUGUAAUGAGGCCAAGUGUGCAUCCAGUUCCCAAACAGCCUCCAUAUUCCCAACUCCCCAGCCCCGUACUCAGCACUGUUCCCUUUGGGCACAGGCCACCCUCUACUCUCUCACUGGCCUCCAGUGAUUGGGAAGAGAGGCAAGGACAAUGGAAACAAUCUGCAAAGGUUGCUGGGCCUCUGAGCACGCAGGGCAUACUGGACAGCAGCAGCAGCGGGAGGAAGGAGUGGCUUCUGGUUAGGCUUGUCCCUAGACACAUGGACUGUUUGGAAACACCAAACAGGACCUUCACCUAGGCCUGACCUUGGGGUCCGGAGGAGCUGGCUCUUGCAAGAAGUUCAAGUUUUCAAAUAGAACUGGCCCCUCCCCCAGGCCAGUGAGGAUCCCAUGAGAAGAACCCAAGCUAAGGAGCUGCUCAGAGCAGGGAGGACAGAAGCCUCUGGGUACACAGGCUUGUCCUUGACUGCAGCAGCCUCCCUCCUGACAGGGUAGAAGAUCUGAACACGUGCAAAGAAAAGACUGAAUGGCAGCCCACGCACUCGUGCACGUGCUCGCGAACGCACAGACACACACACAAACACACACACACAUACAUUGCCAUUUUGCUCAUCAGAGCUUGGCUCUUUGCAAAUGGGAGCCAUCUUAACUCUGAAACAUGGAAGGCUCUCCUCUAGUCUGUUCUUGUCGCCCUGUCUGCCCCAGCCCAGUUUGGCAGAAGAGCACACAGUUACUUCUCUUGGCCCAGCUGGGCCCUGUAUAGACAAGCCACCUGUGUGUGGCCCAAGCCACCCAGUGUGGUAGAUGUGAGGAUGCUGUGUUGAGUGGACAGCUGACAAAGGAAGCCACAUAGGACUUGGUUUCCCGAAUUCUGUUCUCCAGAUACGGAUGGAUCAGCCGUAUCUACAGUGGCCUUUGCAGAACGCCCUGAAGACUUUUGGGUAACAGUUUUCUCUGAGAUAAAAAACAUUUCAUAGCAGGACGGAGGUGACGCACGUACGUAAGUACGUACGUACGCACGCACGCACGCACGCACGCACGCACGCAUGCACAAACUUCAGUCCCAGCACUCCAGAGGCAGAGGCAGAGGCAGAGGCAGAGGCAGAUGGAUCACUGUGGGUUUGAACCAGCCUGGUCUCCAAAGCCAGUUCCAGGACAGCCAGGGUUACAAAGAGAAACUCUGUAUCGAAAAUAAAAGCAAAAAGCAAAACAAAACAGAAUUCAUACCGCAACGGAUCUCAUUAAGCAGGAAGAUAAACAACUAAAAAAACGGUGUCAAGAACUCGCUGAAACUGACGGGGUUCACUAGGCCCCUCCCUGCCAGAGGAAAUGAUAGGAACCCAGCUGCAAAGAUGACUGUCAGACAAACUGAGAUGUCAAGAUACCGAGCUACAAGACCCGGAGACAAGAAAACUGCCCGGAAGCAGCAGGAACCUGCCCAGCUGCCUAGAAGUGUGUCAGACCAACCCGGACAUCUGGACAGGACACCCUGAACCUGCCUGCGGGCUGCACAGUGCUCUCCAGAUUCUCAGCUGUCACCCAUGCUGGGGUGGGCCUUGAUGACACAGCUGUUUGAGUCAUGUCUGUUCCUGAAAGGUUUUGUCACCCGGAACAGGAGGAUGACCAAAGUGAGUUGAGGACUGAGUGCAUGGUCCUGGCUAUGGGUAGCAAAGCAGGCAACUGAGUCACCGGUGUGUGCCUUAUUGCUAUGGCAACAGUCGCAUGGUGCCCCCACCCGGCUCCCCACAAACCCUCCCCCAAAGCAGGGUUUCUCUGGGUAGCCUUGGCUGUCCUGGAACUCCCUCUGUAGACCAGGCUGGUCUCAAACUCAGAGCUCCACCUGCCCCUGCCUCCUGAGUGCUGUGAUUAAAGGAAUGCACCACCA
Non-coding RNA from Rattus norvegicus (Norway rat), 2792 nucleotides. The record is from RefSeq and is a predicted model, not a curated record. Lineage: Eukaryota; Metazoa; Chordata; Mammalia; Rodentia; Muridae.